Molecule: ribosomal RNA, 609 nt
Filed under: uncultured bacterium
Lineage: Bacteria
Description: bacterial SSU rRNA
Rfam family: Bacterial small subunit ribosomal RNA
Source: RNAcentral
CCAGACUCCUACGGGAGGCAGCAGUAGGGAAUCUUCGGCAAUGGACGAAAGUCUGACCGAGCAACGCCGCGUGAGUGAAGAAGGUUUUCGGAUCGUAAAGCUCUGUUGUAAGUCAAGAACAUGUGUGAGAGUGGAAAGUUCACACAGUGACGGUAGCUUACCAGAAAGGGACGGCUAACUACGUGCCAGCAGCCGCGGUAAUACGUAGGUCCCGAGCGUUGUCCGGAUUUAUUGGGCGUAAAGGGAGCGCAGGCGGUCAGGAAAGUCUGGAGUAAAAGGCUAUGGCUCAACCAUAGUGUGCUCUGGAAACUGUCUGACUUGAGUGCAGAAGGGGAGAGUGGAAUUCCAUGUGUAGCGGUGAAAUGCGUAGAUAUAUGGAGGAACACCAGUGGCGAAAGCGGCUCUCUGGUCUGUCACUGACGCUGAGGCUCGAAAGCGUGGGUAGCGAACAGGAUUAGAUACCCUGGUAGUCCACGCCGUAAACGAUGAGUGCUAGGUGUUAGGCCCUUUCCGGGGCUUAGUGCCGGAGCUAACGCAAUAAGCACUCCGCCUGGGGAGUACGACCGCAAGGUUGAAACUCAAAGGAAUUGACGGGGGCCCGCACAAGAC